Molecule: ribosomal RNA, 312 nt
Filed under: Triticum aestivum (bread wheat)
Lineage: Eukaryota; Viridiplantae; Streptophyta; Magnoliopsida; Poales; Poaceae
Description: partial small subunit ribosomal RNA
Source: RNAcentral
AUGGUGGCAUCUUCCCUACUGUCUCCUUUCUUUUUAGUUUCCAACUUUGAUGCUUGGAUUUGUUGUCUUGGCCAGCUAGCUGGAGUAGGAGGAGAGGAGACAGGCAGGAUGAGAAAGGAGACAAGCAGGAGGAAGAGAGAUUCUUGGGGGUUUGCUUUGCUCGCCUUAUGGAACAGGCUCUUCUGCGGGCAUCAGUUGCUUUGGAAUUGUUCAGAAUCGUUUGCUAUCAUGUAUACUAAGUGCGUAACUACUUUGGGGAAACAUGCUAGGAUUUGGAGUGCCAUGGCUUCCAAUCUUAAAAAUCAGCCGUGA